UGGGGAAUUUUUCGCAAUGAGCGCAAGCUUGACGAAGCAAUACCGCGUGAAGGAUGAAGGUCUAUGGAUUGUAAACUUCUUUUGUCAGAGAAGAAUUUAAUGACGGUAUCUGAAGAAUAAGUAUCGGCUAAUUCCGUGCCAGCAGCCGCGGUAAUACGGGGGAUGCGAGCGUUAUCCGGAUUUAUUGGGCGUAAAGGGUUUGUAGACGGUUUAGUAAGUUUUUUGUUAAAUAUUAAAGCUUAACUUUUGUGUUACAUUAAAUACUACUAGACUUGGGUAGAAUAGAGGUAAAGGGAAUUCUCAGUGUAGUAGUGAAAUAUGUUGAUAUUGGGAAGAACACCGAAGGCGAAAGCACUUUACUAGGUUUUUACCGACGUUGAGAAACGAAAGCUAGGGUAGC
RNAcentral lists this ribosomal RNA (400 nucleotides) under uncultured bacterium. RNAcentral describes it as "bacterial SSU rRNA". It matches the Rfam family "Bacterial small subunit ribosomal RNA", at positions 355 to 769 of the family's 1533-position model. The record is from RNAcentral.